This 24-nucleotide microRNA is filed under the name Dasypus novemcinctus (nine-banded armadillo). RNAcentral describes it as "dno-miR-421-5p". Its record names the gene dno-miR-421-5p. The record is from miRBase by way of RNAcentral. Lineage: Eukaryota; Metazoa; Chordata; Mammalia; Cingulata; Dasypodidae.
CUCAUUAAAUGGUUUGUUGAAUGA